This 468-nucleotide ribosomal RNA is filed under the name uncultured bacterium. RNAcentral describes it as "partial 16S ribosomal RNA". It matches the Rfam family "Bacterial small subunit ribosomal RNA", at positions 28 to 507 of the family's 1533-position model. The record is from RNAcentral.
GACGAAUGCUGGCGGCGUGCUUAACACAUGCAAGUCGAACGGAAAGGCCCUGCUUUUGUGGGGUGCUCGAGUGGCGAACGGGUGAGUAACACGUGAGUAACCUGCCCUUGACUUUGGGAUAACUUCAGGAAACUGGGGCUAAUACCGGAUAGGAGCUCCUGCUGCAUGGUGGGGGUUGGAAAGUUUCGGCGGUUGGGGAUGGACUCGCGGCUUAUCAGCUUGUUGGUGGGGUAGUGGCUUACCAAGGCUUUGACGGGUAGCCGGCCUGAGAGGGUGACCGGCCACAUUGGGACUGAGAUACGGCCCAGACUCCUACGGGAGGCAGCAGUGGGGAAUAUUGCACAAUGGGCGGAAGCCUGAUGCAGCAACGCCGCGUGCGGGAUGACGGCCUUCGGGUUGUAAACCGCUUUCGCCUGAGACGAAGCGUGAGUGACGGUAAUGGGUAAAGAAGCACCGGCUAACUACGUG